Molecule: transfer RNA, 67 nt
Filed under: Marmota monax (woodchuck)
Lineage: Eukaryota; Metazoa; Chordata; Mammalia; Rodentia; Sciuridae
Description: tRNA.Thr
Source: RNAcentral
GGUUGUGGCUUAGCGAUACAGCACUUGCCUAGUAUGUGUGAGGCCCUGGGUUCGAUCCUCAGCAUCA